UAUCUCAUAAUGUCUGAUACGUAACAAUGGAUUGCGACUUGGCGAACAAUGGAUGUGCAGGGCCCUGUAUUGCGACUUGGCGACGGCCAUUCGGCCAGCCGACCAGGCCAUUCUGUGUCACAUAGUUUACUUUCCUAUGGUAGAAGUUAUGAGUCGACAGACAGAACAGCAGAAUAUUUGAGACAGGCUGCUGCUGCUGAUUUGACAGAGGCAGAUCUACUACAUGCUCCUUGCAGUUCAAAUUCUACAUCGGAAGCCACUGCUUGUAACAUGUCUGGGGCCACUGCAUGUGAGAUUGUUCCUCGCCCAGGUCGAUUUCAACAGAGAUAAAGGCCAACCUCAGUAACAAACUUUGACUAUGUUCCAAAUAAGGAAGAAAAGGUAGCACUAUUGAAAGCUGGAUUGGUGGAGAAGAAGAUCAUUUUCAGAAAGAACUUUUCUCCUGAAUUCUUAAAGACAUCACUUCUUGAAGCUUACCCUCUUAUUAAAGAAAAGCUGCCGGAUCACGACAUCAAUUGACAAAAGUGAGGGUCCCUCAAGAGUCUUGGAGGAUUCACAACUACUAGCCUUGCAGAUGAAAGUGGCAUUGGUCAAGCACUAUGUUAUAUUUUGUCUAUUCAAAGAAAAUUUGAAGAUAGUGGAUAUAAUGGAAAAAGAUGGUGGAGGUAUACAACUGAUGUGCUAGAGGAAUGUAUACAACGUGGCUGCAUCAUAUCAAUGUCAAAAAUGAGGGACCACGUAAUGGAAUGUGGUAAAAAUCUUGCAUGCCAGAAGGGAUGUAGUGAGCUUAUGCCAUGGCGCGGCCUCUAAAUGGGGGAUUGUUAAACCUGAAAAGCAAUCAAUAUUACAACAGACAGGGAUGGUUAUUGAUGGGAGGAAGAAGGAUGUGAAACAAAGAAAUAUAAACAGACCCCCUCUCUCAUACCUUGAGGACUUCAUGAACUUUUUCGAAAGGCUGCAAGGACUUACCAACAGUGACAUAUGGCAGUGUGGAGUCUGUCAGUAACUGUAUAGAGAAGGUGGCUUCACUUUAUAAGGCUGAAUCAUUUUCCCUCAGAUUCAUGACACUUCCAACAGGGAACAGAUUGCUUUCUUCGGUUUAAAUGGUUUUAAAUAAUCAAUUAUUGCCAAAAGGAGUCGAUGCCAUUUUCUAUUUUUAACAUUUGAAACAUGGACAAAGGGAAGUAAUUACUAUGCAAAUCAAUUAUCUAAAAGGAUGUAUUCUAGAGAUUGAACAUGGAACCUCUGCUGCCAAUCCUAUAAAGAUAUACACAUGUACACAUAUAAACACAACAAGAAUAACUUCACAGGGGUACACUUUUACAUAAAACUAGGGUUCAUAACAAAAGUACAUCAAAAUCAUUCACAAAUGCAUGGGUGUCAUGUGUGUCGAUUUCGGUUGAUACUCCUUCACAAGCAAUAACCUCAACUAAAUUCUUUGAACAUCAUUACAAUUCCAUUAAUAUGAACUUUGUCUUUAUUUUGUUCCCCAUUCCAAAAUUACCAUAUUUAUCUUGUUCUGUCUUGACUAAGCUUUCCUUUAUUUUUUAUAACUCCUUAUUGGAUAGAAGAUGAACUUGUUUUCUUCUUUGAAUAAA
RNAcentral lists this long non-coding RNA (1598 nucleotides) under Mizuhopecten yessoensis (Yesso scallop). RNAcentral describes it as "uncharacterized LOC110440318, transcript variant X1". Lineage: Eukaryota; Metazoa; Mollusca; Bivalvia; Pectinida; Pectinidae. The record is from RNAcentral.